RNAcentral lists this ribosomal RNA (465 nucleotides) under Vreelandella stevensii. Its description in RNAcentral is "partial 16S ribosomal RNA". It matches the Rfam family "Bacterial small subunit ribosomal RNA", at positions 338 to 795 of the family's 1533-position model. The record is from RNAcentral. Lineage: Bacteria; Pseudomonadati; Pseudomonadota; Gammaproteobacteria; Oceanospirillales; Halomonadaceae.
CCUACGGGCGGCAGCAGUGGGGAAUGUUGGACAAUGGGGGCAACCCUGAUCCAGCCAUGCCGCGUGUGUGAAGAAGGCCCUCGGGUUGUAAAGCACUUUCAGUGAGGAAGAACGCCUGGUGGUUAAUACCCAUCAGGAAAGACAUCACUCACAGAAGAAGCACCGGCUAACUCCGUGCCAGCAGCCGCGGUAAUACGGAGGGUGCGAGCGUUAAUCGGAAUUACUGGGCGUAAAGCGCGCGUAGGUGGCUUGAUAAGCCGGUUGUGAAAGCCCCGGGCUCAACCUGGGAACGGCAUCCGGAACUGUCAAGCUAGAGUGCAGGAGAGGAAGGUAGAAUUCCCGGUGUAGCGGUGAAAUGCGUAGAGAUCGGGAGGAAUACCAGUGGCGAAGGCGGCCUUCUGGACUGACACUGACACUGAGGUGCGAAAGCGUGGGUAGCAAACAGGAUUAGAUACCCUUGUAGUC